This 345-nucleotide ribosomal RNA is filed under the name uncultured bacterium. RNAcentral's name for it is "partial 16S ribosomal RNA". It matches the Rfam family "Bacterial small subunit ribosomal RNA", at positions 338 to 679 of the family's 1533-position model. The record is from RNAcentral.
CCUACGGGGGGGCAGCAGUGAGGAAGAUUGGGCAAUGGAAGCAAGGAUGAACCAGCCAUGCAGAGUGCAGGAAGAAGGCUCGAUGAGUUGGAAACUGCUUUUGGACGAGGGGAAACGCAGAGACGCGUAUCUGUCUGAAAGUAGCGGACGAAGAAGGAGCGGCUAACUCCGUGCCAGCAGCCGCGGUAAUACGGAGGAUUCAAGCGUUAUCCGGAUUUAUUGGGUUUCAAGGGUGCGUAGGCGGUCGGAUCAGUUAGAGGUGAAAUCCCGAGGCUCAACUUCGGAAUUGCCUCUGAUACUGUUCGGCUAGUGCGUCGUUGCGGUCGGCGGAAUGUCUGGUGUAGC